RNAcentral lists this ribosomal RNA (253 nucleotides) under uncultured bacterium. RNAcentral's name for it is "partial 16S ribosomal RNA". It matches the Rfam family "Bacterial small subunit ribosomal RNA", at positions 524 to 776 of the family's 1533-position model. The record is from RNAcentral.
UACGGGGGGGGCAAGCGUUGUUCGGAAUUACUGGGCGUAAAGGGCUCGUAGGCGGCCAACUAAGUCGGAUGUGAAAUCCCCAAGCUUAACUUGGGAACUGCAUCCGAUACUGGAUGGCUUGAAUCCGGGAGAGGGAUGCAGAAUUCCAGGUGUAGCGGUGAAAUGCGUAGAUAUCUGGAGGAAUACCGGUGGCGAAGGCGGCAUCCUGGACCGGCAUUGACGCUGAGGAGCGAAAGCUAGGGGAGCAAACGGG